UGUGCACUGGUGGGGUCCCUCGGCCUGGCCUGCGCACUCUCGCAAUCCAGGACCCCUCGGGGCAUGUCCGAGAGCCUGUUUUGCCCUGAUCCUGCAGGCCAGGCCGAGGGACCCCACUGGUGCACG
Molecule: microRNA precursor, 126 nt
Filed under: Myotis lucifugus (little brown bat)
Lineage: Eukaryota; Metazoa; Chordata; Mammalia; Chiroptera; Vespertilionidae
Description: mir-9193 microRNA precursor family
Rfam family: mir-9193 microRNA precursor family
Source: Rfam by way of RNAcentral